GACGAACGCUGGCGGCGUGCUUAACACAUGCAAGUCGAACGGAAAGGCCCUGCUUUUGUGGGGUGCUCGAGUGGCGAACGGGUGAGUAACACGUGAGUAACCUGCCCUUGACUUUGGGAUAACUUCAGGAAACUGGGGCUAAUACCGGAUAGGAGCUCCUGCUGCAUGGUGGGGGCUGGAAAGUUUCGGCGGUUGGGGAUGGACUCGCGGUGGAUCAGCUAGUUGGUAGGGUAGUAGCAUACCAAGGCGUUGAUGGGUCGCUGGUCUGAGAGGGGGAUCAGUCAGGAUGGGACUGAGACACGGACCAGAAUCGGACGGGAGGGAGCAGUGGGGAACAUUGUAGAAUGGGGGAUAGCCUGAUCAAGCAAUGCGGGGUGAGUGAUGAAGGCCUUAGGGUUGUAAAGCUCUCUUACGCGGGAUGAUAAUGACAGUACCGGGAGAAUAAGCUCCGGCUAACUCCGUG
Molecule: ribosomal RNA, 463 nt
Filed under: uncultured bacterium
Lineage: Bacteria
Description: partial 16S ribosomal RNA
Rfam family: Bacterial small subunit ribosomal RNA
Source: RNAcentral